GCUCGUGUCGUGAGAUGUUGGGUUAAGUCCCGUAACCGAGCGCAACCCUUGUCCUUAGUUACCAGCACGUUAUGGUGGGCACUCUAAGGAGACUGCCGGUGACAAACCGGAGGAAGGUGGGGAUGGCGUCAAGUCAUCAUGGCCCUUACGGCCUGGGCUACACACGUGCUACAAUGGUCGGUACAAAGGGUUGCCAAGCCGCGAGGUGGAGCUAAUCCCAUAAAACCGAUCGUAGUCCGGAUCGCAGUCUGCAACUCGACUGCGUGAAGUCGGAAUCGCUAGUAAUCGUGAAUCAGAAUGUCACGGUGAAUACGUUCCCGGGCCUU
RNAcentral lists this ribosomal RNA (326 nucleotides) under uncultured Pseudomonas sp. RNAcentral describes it as "bacterial SSU rRNA". It matches the Rfam family "Bacterial small subunit ribosomal RNA", at positions 1058 to 1382 of the family's 1533-position model. The record is from RNAcentral. Lineage: Bacteria; Pseudomonadati; Pseudomonadota; Gammaproteobacteria; Pseudomonadales; Pseudomonadaceae.